AACGAACGCUGGCGGCGUGCCUAACACAUGCAAGUCGAACGAGAAAGGGGCUUCGGCUCCGAGUAAAGUGGCGCACGGGUGAGUAACACGUGGGUAACCUGCCUCUAAGAUUGGGAUAACUCGUCGAAAGAUGAGCUAAUACCGAAUAAGACCACAGUUCCCGCGGGAACAGGGGUCAAAGGUAGCCUCUGCUUGCAAGCUAUCACUUAGAGACGGGCCUGCGCACCAUUAGCUAGUUGGUAGGGUAACGGCCUACCAAGGCAAAGAUGGUUAGCUGGUCUGAGAGGAUGAUCAGCCACACUGGAACUGAGACACGGUCCAGACUCCUACGGGAGGCAGCAGUGGGGAAUAUUGCGCAAUGGGCGAAAGCUUGACGCAGCAACGCCGCGUGAGUGAUGAAGGCCUUCGGGUCGUAAAGCUCUGUCGGGAGGAACGAAUGCUCCUGAGGUUAACAGCCUCGGGAGGUGACGGUACCUUCAAAGGAAGCACCGGCUAACUCUGUG
Molecule: ribosomal RNA, 503 nt
Filed under: uncultured bacterium
Lineage: Bacteria
Description: partial 16S ribosomal RNA
Rfam family: Bacterial small subunit ribosomal RNA
Source: RNAcentral